Molecule: long non-coding RNA, 579 nt
Filed under: Vulpes vulpes (red fox)
Lineage: Eukaryota; Metazoa; Chordata; Mammalia; Carnivora; Canidae
Description: lncRNA (ENSVVUG00000009522.1)
Source: RNAcentral
GGCUGACCCUCUUUUGAAUCAUGAACGAGAUGGGGCUGGGAACAGUUAGAUCCCUGAGCAGCCAGGCAAAGGGGAGAAAUGCCAGUGCACAGAAAAUGUUUUCCACAGAGAAACAAUUGAAUCUAAGAGAGGAGGAGAUUUAUGUUUGCAGACCUGGAAAUACACCAUGAAAUGGAAGGGGGAAUAAAGGAGAGAUGGGACAUAACUAGAGUGCUUGCUUGGACAUGAGAGAAUCACCUAGGAGCAAUGUUUCCUUACAAUAGAGUGGUAUUAGAGAAAUGGGCUGUCCAUGUAUUCUGUUCUUUCAAGACUGAUCCAUGUGGUACCAUGAAAGUGCUAGCAGAUGUUUUGGGAAGAAAAUGUGUAGUUCACAUCUGCCUAUACACCAUCUUCUGUAACCUCACUUUGACGAAAUGGGGUUGGAUUGUGGACACUGUCGUCUCUCAUUUAACAGUGAGUAUAUGUUCGCAAAGAGGUAUUCUUUCCUACUAUGACUACAAAAUUUGGGUAAUUAAUAUGCACUGCGUACUGGGAUGUACUGAUGAACAGUGGGACCUCAUUCCUACAUUCAGAGUUUAA